This 396-nucleotide ribosomal RNA is filed under the name uncultured bacterium. RNAcentral's name for it is "bacterial SSU rRNA". It matches the Rfam family "Bacterial small subunit ribosomal RNA", at positions 28 to 410 of the family's 1533-position model. The record is from RNAcentral.
GACGAACGCUGGCGGCGUGCUUAACACAUGCAAGUCGAGCGGCAGCGGGUCCCCGCGAGGGGAUGCCGGCGAGCGGCGGACGGGUGAGGAACACAUCGGAAUCUGCCUGGUUGUGGGGGAUAACGUAGGGAAACUUACGCUAAUACCGCAUGCGACCCUGAGUCGACGGACUGGGGGUGAAAGUGAGGGACCUUCGGGCCUCACGCGACCAGAUGAGCCGAUGUCGGAUUAGCAGUUGGCGGGGUAACGGCCCGCCAAGGCGACGAUCCGUAGCUGGUCUGAGAGGAUGAUCAGCCACACUGGGACUGAGACACGGCCCAGACUCCUACGGGAGCAGCAGUGGGGAAUCUUGGACAAUGGGCGCAAGCCUGAUCCAGCCAUGCCGCGUGGGUGAAG